Molecule: ribosomal RNA, 222 nt
Filed under: Triticum aestivum (bread wheat)
Lineage: Eukaryota; Viridiplantae; Streptophyta; Magnoliopsida; Poales; Poaceae
Description: partial small subunit ribosomal RNA
Source: RNAcentral
AUGGAACGAGAUCCAACACCACUUCACCGUGCUGCAAAGGAGUUGAUCAAUAUGCAGAUGGAUACAGGAGAAUUUCCACAGCAAGAACACGUCGGAUGCCUCAACUGCUCCCUUUUCUUCAAUUACCCCAACUACCGCAACCUGUUCCCCAUCUGGGCUCUCGGGGAGUACCGGCGCCGCCUUUGCUCGAAAAGCACAGGUGGGUGUGCGCCAUCGUCGUGA